AUGACCCGGCCAACCUCUUCCCUAGUGACACUGAGGAUGAUAUUCUGCAGUUCUCUCUGCAGCUUUAGCUGUGGCCUAGCCCAGAGCCAUGGGCUGCCAUAAAUAGGUGACCUUCAAAGUUCUGCACCAAAUUGGGAGAAUCUUUCUUUUCUUCCUGUCUGAAGAACAAGAAUGUUUUUUAAGUUUCCCCUAGAGCAGCCGCAUGGCACCAAAUUCCAAAAGGCUCAGGCCACCAAUGUUCUUCAUGAGAUGAUCCAGCAGAUCUCCAACGUUUUCAGCACAAAGAACUGAAAUUCCUCACUGGGCUUGAUCAGUAGCUAGAAUUUCUGGAGACCUGUUUGGGUAUAGGAAAUCAAAGAGACCUUGAGUAGGAGGACUCCAGCCUGGCUGUGAAGGAGUAUUCACAAGCAAUCAGUCUCUAUGUGAGAAAGAAAGAACACAUCUGUUGUGCCUGGGACAUUGUCAGACUGCAGAUUAAGAAAGGAAAAUCAAUAAAUGCUUUCUCUGUGUUAAUAGGCUCAUCGGAAA
RNAcentral lists this long non-coding RNA (528 nucleotides) under Homo sapiens (human). RNAcentral describes it as "non-protein coding lnc-IFNA8-3:1". The record is from RNAcentral. Lineage: Eukaryota; Metazoa; Chordata; Mammalia; Primates; Hominidae.